Phyllopteryx taeniolatus (common seadragon) is the source of this 67-nucleotide small nucleolar RNA. RefSeq annotates it as small nucleolar RNA SNORD52. The transcript has a single exon. The record is from RefSeq and is a predicted model, not a curated record. NCBI's taxonomy places the organism in Eukaryota, Metazoa, Chordata, Actinopteri, Syngnathiformes, Syngnathidae.
UGGAGUGAUGAUUCAUAGACUAGAGUCUCUGAAAAGCCUGAUGUUGUUUUUCACAGUGCACUGACCA